UUAAAAUGAGAGUUUGAUCCUGGCUCAGGACGAACGCUGGCGGCGUGCCUAAUACAUGCAAGUCGAACGAAACUUUCUUACACCGAAUGCUUGCAUUCACCGUAAGAAGUUGAGUGGCGGACGGGUGAGUAACACGUGGGUAACCUGCCUAAAAGAAGGGGAUAACACUUGGAAACAGGUGCUAAUACCGUAUAUUUCUAAGGAUCGCAUGAUCCUUAGAUGAAAGAUGGUUCUGCUAUCGCUUUUAGAUGGACCUGCGGCGUAUUAACUAGUUGGUGGGGUAACGGCCUACCAAGGUGAUGAUACGUAGCCGAACUGA
This 319-nucleotide ribosomal RNA is filed under the name Ligilactobacillus salivarius. RNAcentral describes it as "bacterial SSU rRNA". It matches the Rfam family "Bacterial small subunit ribosomal RNA", at positions 1 to 295 of the family's 1533-position model. Lineage: Bacteria; Bacillati; Bacillota; Bacilli; Lactobacillales; Lactobacillaceae. The record is from RNAcentral.